ACUUCUUUUUAAUGAGCUUAUGUCCUGGCAGAUAACCUAAUUGUGGAUGGGAAUGUUCCUGAAGAGGAAAUCUUGUCAGUGUUAGAUGUUCCUCCGGGAAAAAUGGGACGUGUCAUCGGAAAAAGAGGAGCUUCUAUCAUGUCAAUCAAGGAAUCUUGCAAUGCAGAGAUUCUCAUCGGAGGUUCCAAGGGACCACCUGACAAGGUAUUCAUCAUUGGACCUGUGAAGCAGGUGAGAAAAGCAGAAGCUAUUUUAAGGGGGAGGAUGCUGGAAAUGUACUGACAGCGUCGAGUGAAAUGGUUCACCCUUCAUCUAUGCUGAUGCUGAAAUGUUCGGUUCUUCGUUAAGACAGUAUAUAUUAUAAGGGGCUUGAUGAUUAAAUACCUCCGACCAUCGUGUCUUUGUGUAAAAAGAUGCUCAAUCAUGUAGAGAAGCUGUUCUCUGCUAAUAUUGGUAAUGCUAUUGGACCUAUUUCUUUUCAUAGGCUAAAAAUCAGGCAUUGGCUUGCAAGUUACAGGUA
Molecule: long non-coding RNA, 520 nt
Organism: Macadamia integrifolia
Lineage: Eukaryota; Viridiplantae; Streptophyta; Magnoliopsida; Proteales; Proteaceae
Exons: 3
Source: RefSeq, a predicted model, not a curated record